This 253-nucleotide ribosomal RNA is filed under the name uncultured bacterium. RNAcentral describes it as "partial 16S ribosomal RNA". It matches the Rfam family "Bacterial small subunit ribosomal RNA", at positions 524 to 776 of the family's 1533-position model. The record is from RNAcentral.
UACGUAUGGUGCAAGCGUUAUCCGGAUUUAUUGGGCGUAAAGGGAACGCAGGCGGUCUUUUAAGUCUGAUGUGAAAGCCUUCGGCUUAACCGGAGUAGUGCAUUGGAAACUGGGAGACUUGAGUGCAGAAGAGGAGAGUGGAACUCCAUGUGUAGCGGUGAAAUGCGUAGAUAUAUGGAAGAACACCAGUGGCGAAAGCGGCUCUCUGGUCUGUAACUGACGCUGAGGUUCGAAAGCGUGGGUAGCAAACAGG